RNAcentral lists this transfer RNA (82 nucleotides) under Melampsora larici-populina 98AG31. Its description in RNAcentral is "tRNA-Arg for anticodon UCU". The record is from RNAcentral. Lineage: Eukaryota; Fungi; Basidiomycota; Pucciniomycetes; Pucciniales; Melampsoraceae.
UGCCCACGGUGUAAAGGUAGGGCGUUGGACUUCUACACCAAGGUGGCGAUCCAAAGAUUGCGGGUUCGACCCCCGCGGGGAG